UUAUUAGCAAAGAAUAAUCCUUGUAUAGUAUCAGUACAAUCGAAUUCGGUCUGAUAGUCUCUACCUGGCAGCCGUUAAAUGCCGGACUACAAGGAAGUAUGAAUACAUC
Molecule: non-coding RNA, 109 nt
Filed under: Fictibacillus enclensis
Lineage: Bacteria; Bacillati; Bacillota; Bacilli; Caryophanales; Fictibacillaceae
Description: Guanine sequence
Rfam family: Purine riboswitch aptamer
About the family: Riboswitches are metabolite binding domains within certain messenger RNAs that serve as precision sensors for their corresponding targets. Allosteric rearrangement of mRNA structure is mediated by ligand binding, and this results in modulation of gene expression.
Source: Rfam by way of RNAcentral